RNAcentral lists this transfer RNA (72 nucleotides) under Sphaerodactylus townsendi. RNAcentral describes it as "tRNA-Pro". It matches the Rfam family "tRNA". From Rfam's summary of the family: Transfer RNA (tRNA) molecules are approximately 80 nucleotides in length. Their secondary structure includes four short double-helical elements and three loops (D, anti-codon, and T loops). Lineage: Eukaryota; Metazoa; Chordata; Lepidosauria; Squamata; Sphaerodactylidae. The record is from RNAcentral.
GGGGCUGUGGCUCAGUGGUACAGCAUCUGUCUUGGGAUCAUGAGAUCUCAGGUUCAGUUCUUGGUAUCUCUA